GAGUUUGAUCGUGGCUCAGGAUGAACGCUAGCGGCAGGCUUAAUACAUGCAAGUCGAGCGGUAACAGGUGUAGCAAUACAUGCUGACGAGCGGCAGACGGGUGAGGAACACGUACGCAGCUUCCCUCAAACCGGGGCACAACCUUGAGAAAUCAGGGCUAAUUCCCCAUAACAUUGCGAAAGGGCAUCUGAUUGCAAUUAAAGAUUUAUCAGUUUGAGAUAGGCGUGCGUUCGAUUAGCUAGUUGGUAAGGUAACGGCCUACCAAGGCAACGAUCGAUAGCUGGUGUGAGAGCACGACCAGCCACACGGGCACUGAGAUACGGGCCCGACUCCUACGGGAGGCAGCAGUAAGGAAUAUUGGUCAAUGGACGCAAGUCUGAACCAGCCAUGCCGCGUGAGGGAUGAAGGUCCUCUGGAUUGUAAACCUCUUUUAUCUGUGAAUAAAUACCUGAUUUCUAUCGGGUUUGAAGGUAAUAGAUGAAUAAGCACCGGCUAACUCCGUGCCA
This 506-nucleotide ribosomal RNA is filed under the name uncultured bacterium. RNAcentral describes it as "bacterial SSU rRNA". It matches the Rfam family "Bacterial small subunit ribosomal RNA", at positions 9 to 510 of the family's 1533-position model. The record is from RNAcentral.